Molecule: unclassified non-coding RNA, 316 nt
Filed under: plant metagenome
Description: partial contains 5.8S ribosomal RNA, internal transcribed spacer 2, and large subunit ribosomal RNA
Rfam family: 5.8S ribosomal RNA (bases 1-105)
Source: RNAcentral
GAAAUGCGAUAACUAGUGUGAAUUGCAGAAUUCCGUGAAUCAUCGAGUCUUUGAACGCACAUUGCGCCCCCUGGUAUUCCGGGGGGCAUGCCUGUCCGAGCGUCAUUGCUGCCCAUCAAGCACGGCUUGUGUGUUGGGUCGUCGUCCCCUCUCCGGGGGGGACGGGCCCCAAAGGCAGCGGCGGCACCGCGUCCGAUCCUCGAGCGUAUGGGGCUUUGUCACCCGCUCUGUAGGCCCGGCCGGCGCUUGCCGAGCGCAAAUCAAUCUUUUUCCAGGUUGACCUCGGAUCAGGUAGGGAUACCCGCUGAACUUAAGC